CGUGCUACCUCCAGUUCCUAGAGGAGCCCUUUGAGCCUGCAGUGAGAAAAAGAGGUCCAAGAGUCACCUGGGAACUGGAGAAGAGUGUUAA
MicroRNA precursor from Cricetulus griseus (Chinese hamster), 91 nucleotides. The record is from Ensembl. Lineage: Eukaryota; Metazoa; Chordata; Mammalia; Rodentia; Cricetidae.